CGAAAGUUAGAGGUUCGAAGGCGAUCAGAUACCGCCCUAGUUCUAACCAUAAACGAUGCCAACCAGCGAUCCGCCUGAGUUCCUCAAAUGACUCGGCGGGCAGCUUCCGGGAAACCAAAGUGUUUGGGUUCCGGGGGAAGUAUGGUUGCAAAGCUGAAACUUAAAGGAAUUGACGGAAGGGCACCACCAGGAGUGGAGCCUGCGGCUUAAUUUGACUCAACACGGGAAAACUUACCCGGCCCGGACACUGGAAGGAUUGACAGAUUAAGAGCUCUUUCUUGAUUCAGUGGGUGGUGGUGCAUGGCCAUUCUUAGUUGGUGGAGCGAUUUGUCUGGUUAAUUCCGAUAACGAACGAGACUCUAGCCUACUAAAUAGGCGUUCCGAUCCUUUAUGUCGGACGUUCUUCUUAGAGGGACAAGCGGCUUUUAGCCGCACGAGACAGAGCAAUAACAGGUCUGUGAUGCCCUUAGAUGUCCGGGGCCGCACGCGCGCUACACUGAAGGAAUCAGCGUGUGCUUUCCCUGUCUGGUAGGACUGGGUAACCCGUUAAACCUCCUUCGUGAUAGGGAUAGGGGCUUGUAAUUCUUCCCCUUGAACGAGGAAUUCCCAGUAAGCACGAGUCAUAAGCUCGUGUUGAUUACGUCCCUGCCCUUUGUACACACCGCCCGUCGCUACUACCGAUUGAAUGAUUUAGUGAGGUCUUCGGACUGGCGCUCGUAGCGACCUUUGGCCGCGCCGACGUGCCGGAAAGAU
This 753-nucleotide ribosomal RNA is filed under the name Dysdera calderensis. Its description in RNAcentral is "SSU rRNA". It matches the Rfam family "Eukaryotic small subunit ribosomal RNA", at positions 984 to 1756 of the family's 1831-position model. The record is from RNAcentral. Lineage: Eukaryota; Metazoa; Arthropoda; Arachnida; Araneae; Dysderidae.